AUGGCGACACCGCCGGCGGCUUCCUCCUCCCCCUCACCUUCUCUCCCUCUCCCAAGGGAGGGAAGGGAAUGGAGGGGAUCCGGCGGCAAGGGGGGGGCAGCGCCCAGAUCCGCAGCCGCACCGGCGGGCCGCCGUCCCUCGAGAUCGUCCAUGGAGGUCCGACCCGGCUGCGGCCAUGGACUGAGAUGCCCGAAACCCUAG
RNAcentral lists this ribosomal RNA (201 nucleotides) under Triticum aestivum (bread wheat). RNAcentral describes it as "partial small subunit ribosomal RNA". The record is from RNAcentral. Lineage: Eukaryota; Viridiplantae; Streptophyta; Magnoliopsida; Poales; Poaceae.